This 326-nucleotide ribosomal RNA is filed under the name uncultured eukaryote. Its description in RNAcentral is "partial 18S ribosomal RNA". It matches the Rfam family "Eukaryotic small subunit ribosomal RNA", at positions 1470 to 1796 of the family's 1831-position model. The record is from RNAcentral.
CCCUUAGAUGUUCUGGGCCGCACGCGCGCUACACUGAUGAAUUCAACGAGCACUAACCUGUGCCGAAAGGUUCGGGUAAUCUUGUGAAAUUUCAUCGUGAUGGGGAUUGAUUAUUGCAAUUUUUAAUCAUAAACGAGGAAUGCCUAGUAAGCGUGAGUCAUCAGCUCACGUUGAUUACGUCCCUGCCCUUUGUACACACCGCCCGUCGCUCCUACCGAUUGAAUGUGCCAGUGAAAAGUUCGGAUUGGAGAUAGGAGACGGCAACGUAUCCUAUUUCCGAGAAAAUCUUUAAACUUUCCCAUUUAGAGGAAGGAGAAGUCGUAACA